This 799-nucleotide ribosomal RNA is filed under the name Bacillus tequilensis. RNAcentral's name for it is "bacterial SSU rRNA". It matches the Rfam family "Bacterial small subunit ribosomal RNA", at positions 145 to 927 of the family's 1533-position model. The record is from RNAcentral. Lineage: Bacteria; Bacillati; Bacillota; Bacilli; Caryophanales; Bacillaceae.
AACUCCGGGAAACCGGGGCUAAUACCGGAUGGUUGUUUGAACCGCAUGGUUCAAACAUAAAAGGUGGCUUCGGCUACCACUUACAGAUGGACCCGCGGCGCAUUAGCUAGUUGGUGAGGUAACGGCUCACCAAGGCGACGAUGCGUAGCCGACCUGAGAGGGUGAUCGGCCACACUGGGACUGAGACACGGCCCAGACUCCUACGGGAGGCAGCAGUAGGGAAUCUUCCGCAAUGGACGAAAGUCUGACGGAGCAACGCCGCGUGAGUGAUGAAGGUUUUCGGAUCGUAAAGCUCUGUUGUUAGGGAAGAACAAGUACCGUUCGAAUAGGGCGGUACCUUGACGGUACCUAACCAGAAAGCCACGGCUAACUACGUGCCAGCAGCCGCGGUAAUACGUAGGUGGCAAGCGUUGUCCGGAAUUAUUGGGCGUAAAGGGCUCGCAGGCGGUUUCUUAAGUCUGAUGUGAAAGCCCCCGGCUCAACCGGGGAGGGUCAUUGGAAACUGGGGAACUUGAGUGCAGAAGAGGAGAGUGGAAUUCCACGUGUAGCGGUGAAAUGCGUAGAGAUGUGGAGGAACACCAGUGGCGAAGGCGACUCUCUGGUCUGUAACUGACGCUGAGGAGCGAAAGCGUGGGGAGCGAACAGGAUUAGAUACCCUGGUAGUCCACGCCGUAACGAUGAGUGCUAAGUGUUAGGGGGUUUCCGCCCCCUUAGUGCUGCAGCUAACGCAUUAAGCACUCCGCCUGGGGGAGUACGGUCGCAAGACUGAACUYCAACGAUUGACGGGGGGGCCCGCACC